RNAcentral lists this long non-coding RNA (436 nucleotides) under Amborella trichopoda. RNAcentral describes it as "long non-coding RNA (ATRI_LNC002091)". The record is from RNAcentral. Lineage: Eukaryota; Viridiplantae; Streptophyta; Magnoliopsida; Amborellales; Amborellaceae.
UUCUAUCUUCUGCUUUAUUUUCUGUUUUCGGUUUCUGACUUUUGUUUUCUGUUCUCUGUAAUAAAGUUUAUCUUUCUUGUUUUCUGUCAUAGUCUGAAUAUUGUACAGUAUGCUUUUUCUGUAAUCUGUAAUAGUUUGAUUAUUGUAACAAUGGGCUUAAAGUGUGAUUUUCUGUAAUAGUGGGAUUGUAAAUGUUACAAGUCAUCAAUAAAAGUUUAUUAUGAAAAUUUUAUUAUGCAAUUCAAAAUACUGUUUAGUAUAAAAGUUAGAGAAUUUACAUAUGCUCAAUGGUUAGUAAUAGAUAUUUCUGUGAUUCCCUUUAUCUGUUUCAUAUUAUUUGUACUUAAUUAUUAUAGGAUCUUGCAAGCAUUACUUAAAUAUAAUAAUAUUGUAUUUACCUACUUAUUGUAAUAAAUAAAUUACAUAUUCACUAUCA